GACGAACGCUGGCGGCGUGCCUAAUACAUGCAAGUCGAGCGGAGUUUCAAGAAGCUUGCUUUUUGAAACUUAGCGGCGGACGGGUGAGUAACACGUGGGCAACCUGCCCCUUAGACUGGGAUAACUCCGGGAAACCGGAGCUAAUACCGGAUAAUCCCUUUCUCCACCUGGAGAGAGGGUGAAAGAUGGCUUCGGCUAUCACUAGGGGAUGGGCCCGCGGCGCAUUAGCUAGUUGGUAAGGUAACGGCUUACCAAGGCGACGAUGCGUAGCCGACCUGAGAGGGUGAUCGGCCACACUGGGACUGAGACACGGCCCAGACUCCUACGGGAGGCAGCAGUAGGGAAUCUUCCGCAAUGGACGAAAGUCUGACGGAGCAACGCCGCGUGAGUGAGGAAGGCCUUCGGGUCGUAAAGCUCUGUUGUGAGGGAAGAAGCGGUACCGUUCGAAUAGGGCGGUACCUUGACGGU
Molecule: ribosomal RNA, 468 nt
Filed under: Shouchella clausii
Lineage: Bacteria; Bacillati; Bacillota; Bacilli; Caryophanales; Bacillaceae
Description: bacterial SSU rRNA
Rfam family: Bacterial small subunit ribosomal RNA
Source: RNAcentral